AUGCUUACUCUAGUGUCACCACACUAAUGACUUGAGACUCAUCAUCCCAUAAGAAAAGUACAGCAUACACUGAUCUAUCCGGAUUUAUCACCGCCCUCGUGAUACUCCUAUGAUCAGGAGCAUUUAAGAAUUAAUUACAGAAGAAUAUAUGUCUCAAAUUUCUAACUUCUUAGAAAUUUAAUUCUUCUACUAUUAAUUCUAUGGACGAUUCAUAAAUAUGCAUUUGGCAAUAAUAUGAAUGAAGAAUGCCAGAUUUAAUUAUAAAAGAAAAGUACACUGAUAUUAUCCCUUUAAGUUGUGACAGAGAUUGGCUUAUAGGGCAUAUAACUAACAAUUACAACAUUUAUCUCUAGAUACAUUUUACAUCACAAUUACAUAUUUCCAACUUUCAAAUUACAAUCUAGUUAUUACAACACUUAAUACAAGUUUAUUCUUUGUCUUUAAACCCCUAAGCUAGACUAUCUUGGGGUACUGCUAUCUCUGAUCUCGGGGUAGGGCGCUAUCUAUGGAGCUACGCCCUUUUCUCGCGCCGCCGCGCCGCUCGCGUAUGAACCUG
Molecule: long non-coding RNA, 556 nt
Filed under: Ananas comosus (pineapple)
Lineage: Eukaryota; Viridiplantae; Streptophyta; Magnoliopsida; Poales; Bromeliaceae
Description: long non-coding RNA (ACOM_LNC018054)
Source: RNAcentral